UACGGAGGGAGCUAGCGUUGUUCGGAAUUACUGGGCGUAAAGCGCACGUAGGCGGCUUUGUAAGUUAGAGGUGAAAGCCCGGGGCUCAACCCCGGAAUAGCCUUUAAGACUGCAUCGCUUGAAUCCGGGAGAGGUGAGUGGAAUUCCGAGUGUAGAGGUGAAAUUCGUAGAUAUUCGGAAGAACACCAGUGGCGAAGGCGGCUCACUGGACACAUAUUGACGCUGAGGUGCGAAAGCGUGGGGAGCAAACAGG
RNAcentral lists this ribosomal RNA (253 nucleotides) under uncultured bacterium. RNAcentral's name for it is "partial 16S ribosomal RNA". It matches the Rfam family "Bacterial small subunit ribosomal RNA", at positions 524 to 776 of the family's 1533-position model. The record is from RNAcentral.